AAACUCUGGAGAACUCAUUGAGUUGGGUGCCGAAGGUGCAAGGCCGCAAGGGCCGAAUCUCUCAGGCGAAGGGACAGAGAC
RNAcentral lists this non-coding RNA (81 nucleotides) under human gut metagenome. Its description in RNAcentral is "Glycine riboswitch". It matches the Rfam family "Glycine riboswitch aptamer", at positions 9 to 86 of the family's 94-position model. From Rfam's summary of the family: This family represents the bacterial glycine riboswitch. Glycine riboswitches usually consist of two metabolite-binding aptamers domains with similar structures in tandem. The record is from RNAcentral.